CUUACUCCUACGGGAGGCAGCAGUGGGGAAUAUUGCACAAUGGGCGAAAGCCUGAUGCAGCGACGCCGCGUGAGGGAUGACGGCCUUCGGGUUGUAAACCUCUUUCAGCUAGGGACGAAGCGCAUAGU
RNAcentral lists this ribosomal RNA (128 nucleotides) under uncultured bacterium. Its description in RNAcentral is "partial 16S ribosomal RNA". It matches the Rfam family "Bacterial small subunit ribosomal RNA", at positions 332 to 458 of the family's 1533-position model. The record is from RNAcentral.